GAUGAACGCUGGCGGCGUGCCUAAUACAUGCAAGUCGAGCGAACAGACGAGGAUCUUGCUCCUUUGACGUUAGCGGCGGACGGGUGAGUAAUACGUAGGUAACCUACCUAUAAGACUGGGAUAACUUCGCGAAACCGGAUCUAACACAGGAUAAUAUUUCGAACCGCAUGGUUCGAUAGUGAAAGCUGGCUUUGCUAUCACUUAUAGAUGUACCUACGCCGUAUUAGCUAGUUGGUAAGGUAACGGCUUACCAAGGCAACGAUACGUAGCCGACCUGAGAGGAUGAUCAGCCACACUGGAACUGAGACACGGUCCAGACUCCUACGGGAGGCAGCAGUAGGGAAUCUUCCGCAAUGGGCGAAAGCCUGACGGAGCAACGCCGCGUGAGUGAUGAAGGUCUUCGGAUCGUAAAACUCUGUUAUUAGGGAAGAACAAACGUGUAAGUAACUGUGCACGUCUUGACGGUACCUAAUCAGAAAGCCACGGCUAACUACGUG
This 497-nucleotide ribosomal RNA is filed under the name uncultured bacterium. RNAcentral's name for it is "partial 16S ribosomal RNA". It matches the Rfam family "Bacterial small subunit ribosomal RNA", at positions 28 to 507 of the family's 1533-position model. The record is from RNAcentral.